Molecule: ribosomal RNA, 921 nt
Filed under: uncultured bacterium
Lineage: Bacteria
Description: bacterial SSU rRNA
Rfam family: Bacterial small subunit ribosomal RNA
Source: RNAcentral
AGUCGUGGGGCAGCGCAGGUAGCAAUACUGGGCGGCGACCGGCAAACGGGUGCGGAACACGUACACAACCUUCCGAGAAGUGGGGAAUAGCCCAGAGAAAUUUGGAUUAAUACCCCGUAACAUAACGAUGUGGCAUCACAUUGUUAUUAUAGCUUCGGCGCUUCUUGAUGGGUGUGCGGCUGAUUAGAUAGUUGGCGGGGUAACGGCCCACCAAGUCUACGAUCAGUAGCUGAUGUGAGAGCAUGAUCAGCCACACGGGCACUGAGACACGGGCCCGACUCCUACAGGAGGCAGCAGUAAGGAAUAUUGGUCAAUGGACGCAAGUCUGAACCAGCCAUGCCGCGUGAAGGAUUAAGGUCCUCUGGAUUGUAAACUUCUUUUAUCUGGGACGAAAAAAGGCGAUUCUUCGUCACUUGACGGUACCAGAUGAAUAAGCACCGGCUAACUCCGUGCCAGCAGCCGCGGUAAUACGGAGGGUGCAAGCGUUAUCCGGAUUCACUGGGUUUAAAGGGUGCGUAGGCGGGCAGGUAAGUCAGUGGUGAAAUCCUAGAGCUUAACUCUAGAACUGCCAUUGAUACUAUCUGUCUUGAAUAUUGUGGAGGUAAGCGGAAUAUGUCAUGUAGCGGUGAAAUGCUUAGAUAUGACAUAGAACACCUAUUGCGAAGGCAGCUUACUACGCAUAUAUUGACGCUGAGGCACGAAAGCGUGGGGAUCAAACAGGAUUAGAUACCCUGGUAGUCCACGCCCUAAACGAUGAUUACUCGACAUUUGUGAUACACUAUAAGUGUCUGAGCGAAAGCAUUAAGUAAUCCACCUGGGAAGUACGACCGCAAGGUUGAAACUCAAAGGAAUUGGCGGGGGUCCNNNNNNNCGGUGGAGCAUGUGGUUUAAUUCGAUNANNCGCGAGGAACCUUACCUGGG